This 194-nucleotide ribosomal RNA is filed under the name uncultured eukaryote. RNAcentral's name for it is "partial 18S ribosomal RNA". It matches the Rfam family "Eukaryotic small subunit ribosomal RNA", at positions 1 to 193 of the family's 1831-position model. The record is from RNAcentral.
UAAACCUGGUUGAUCCUGCCAGUAGUCAUAUGCUUGUCUCAAAGAUUAAGCCAUGCAUGUCUAAGUAUAAGCAAUUAUACCGUGAAACUGCGAAUGGCUCAUUAAAUCAGUUAUCGUUUAUUUGAUAGUACCUUACUACUUGGAUAACCGUGGUAAUUCUAGAGCUAAUACAUGCUUAAAACCCCGACUUCGGA